GUUCUUGCAGUGGGAAUUCUAUUGUUGCUGAGCUACAUGGUGAAGUUGGGUGGCCAGCAUCUUCUAGCUAUGGUGAACCAAAAUACACUCAAGGAGAAAACAUCUAGUGGUAUGCAGGGUGUAAACAACGAAUGGUGCACACUUCUUCACCUUCUUGGCUGUUGUCUUCUUUCACAAGCACAUCUUCAAUCAUCAUGGGGUUCUACUGAAAAGAAAGUUAAUGAAGCCAUUUCUUGCUUUUUUUAGGUUAAUUAGUUCGGAAUCUAACACAGCUGGAAGAAGGUCGUGGAUACUUUCAUUUGGACUUGGUUAUACAAAAAGGUUAUAUAGUUAGGGAAAACCUCUUAAUAGCAAUGUACAAUUAGGUCCCCUUAAUACCCAU
Non-coding RNA from Lactuca sativa (garden lettuce), 382 nucleotides. The record is from RefSeq and is a predicted model, not a curated record. Lineage: Eukaryota; Viridiplantae; Streptophyta; Magnoliopsida; Asterales; Asteraceae.